RNAcentral lists this ribosomal RNA (468 nucleotides) under uncultured bacterium. Its description in RNAcentral is "partial 16S ribosomal RNA". It matches the Rfam family "Bacterial small subunit ribosomal RNA", at positions 28 to 507 of the family's 1533-position model. The record is from RNAcentral.
GACGAACGCUGGCGGCGUGCUUAACACAUGCAAGUCGAACGGAAAGGCCCUGCUUCUGUGGGGUGCUCGAGUGGCGAACGGGUGAGUAACACGUGAGUAACCUGCCCUUGACUUUGGGAUAACUUCAGGAAACUGGGGCUAAUACCGGAUAGGAGCUCCUGCUGCAUGGUGGGGGUUGGAAAGUUUCGGCGGUUGGGGAUGGACUCGCGGCUUAUCAGCUUGUUGGUGGGGUAGUGGCUUACCAAGGCUUUGACGGGUAGCCGGCCUGAGAGGGUGACCGGCCACAUUGGGACUGAGAUACGGCCCAGACUCCUACGGGAGGCAGCAGUGGGGAAUAUUGCACAAUGGGCGGAAGCCUGAUGCAGCAACGCCGCGUGCGGGAUGACGGCCUUCGGGUUGUAAACCGCUUUCGCCUGUGACGAAGCGUGAGUGACAGUAAUGGGUAAAGAAGCACCGGCUAACUACGUG